CCGAUAGAAAGCCCCUCUGGCCACCGCCUCAACCUGAGAUACCAAGGAGAGGAGUGGAUCCAGGAGUACUCCUUUGAAGAGCCAGAGCUGGGAGCAGAAGAGGAGGAGGGUGGCGACAGAAGCAGUAGUUACCAUCAGUGCAGGGAUUCUCCCUCCCAACCCCAGAAACUACAGGGCUCGCUAAAGAAAAGUCCAUGAAGCUCUUCUCACAAUCAGCUCUUCUGCACAACCCCUGAAGGAUAACAUUGGAGACUUAAAUCAGAUGCUACACCAAACCAUGGCUGAAGAAACUUAUCUAUAGUAUGGAGUGAUGUCUGAACUGAUGGACCAUGGUUUGCAGUCAGCUAGCAAAGUGGAAUUAGAAACCAUGAUCGGAAGUGGGUAUAUAAAACAUGGUUUGAGCUGGCUUAUGAUCUGGUGUGAUGUCUCAACCGACAAACAAUAGUUACAGUUAUUGCUCUGCCUCCAGAUGCCCCUGA
This is a long non-coding RNA of Hemicordylus capensis (graceful crag lizard), 479 nucleotides long. RefSeq lists it as uncharacterized. The record is from RefSeq and is a predicted model, not a curated record. The transcript has 3 exons. NCBI's taxonomy places the organism in Eukaryota, Metazoa, Chordata, Lepidosauria, Squamata, Cordylidae.